This 443-nucleotide unclassified non-coding RNA is filed under the name Hevea brasiliensis (rubber tree). The record is from RNAcentral. Lineage: Eukaryota; Viridiplantae; Streptophyta; Magnoliopsida; Malpighiales; Euphorbiaceae.
AUCCCAAGCUUCACAAUCCUCGACUCGCGAAUAACGACCUGCUGAGACCUCCACAUCUAAAUUGCAUACUUUUGUUCUCAUAAGAUCAAUUGCGUGCUCAGCUCCAUUUGAAUUCUUGUAGGUAACAUACGCAAUUUGACUCUCAUAAGCACUUUCCAUUUCAACAGAUUCUAUUUCCCCGCAACAGGAAAACGACUUCCUGACAUCAACCUCAGAAGCAUGCGGCGGAACCCCAAAGACCAUUACUGUCCUUGCCAGAGAUGAUGAAUCCUUCUUUGAUGAUUCAAGAUCGGGAUUCAACAUCUUUUUAAGCUCCGCUUCCAGGUCAAAAUACAAUCUUGGACAUAAAUUUGUCAACUUUUCAAGCUCCACUUCCGGGUCCUGAUCCAUAGUAUAUUGUGCUUGCCGUGUUCGAAAGACGAUAUCGUAAAUCACAUCUGUUG